UCGAAUUGAUGGAAGUAUAUAGCUUUGAGUGACUAGUCGCUCGGGUAGCUGUGAGACUUAUAUGAUUUUUUUAUUCUUAUGGGAAUCACACUAACCGCCGGAGGUGCCGGGUUUGAUACGCAUCUUUUAGACCGAUCCGAUUUUUUUUUUCACCUCAAAACUAUCGCCUACUGAAUGUGGGGACUCUUAACUCUACCCUGAUCGCAUGGUCUCGCACCGGCCACGUAGCUCUCAAGUGUCUGCCUUAUCAACUUUCGAUGGUAGUUUAUAUGCCUACCAUGGUUGUAACGGGUAACGGAGAAUAAGGGUUCGACUCCGGAGAGGGAGCCUGAGAAACGGCUACCACAUCCAAGGAAGGCAGCAGGCGCGCAAAUUACCCACUCUCAGCACGAGGAGGUAGUGACGAAAAAUAACGAGACCGUUCUCUUCGAGGCCGGUUAUCGGAAUGAGUACAAUUUAAAGCCGUUAACGAGGAUCUAUGAGAGGGCAAGUCUGGUGCCAGCAGCCGCGGUAAUUCCAGCUCUCAAGUGUAUAUCGUCAUUGCUGCGGUUAAAAAGCUCGUAGUUGGAUUUAAGCUCGAUGACUCGGUCCAUCCAUAGGAUGAGAACUGAGCUCAUCGGCUAUCAUCGGCUGGUUUUGUCUAGGUGGCUUUAAACGGUCGCCUAGGCUGGCUAGCAAGUUUACUUUUGAAAAAAUUAGAGUGCUCAACGCGGGCUUAAUGCCUGAAUAGUCGUGCAUGGAAUAAUGGAAUAGGAUUUCCGUUCUAUUUUUGUUGGUUUUUUUAACCGAAAUUAAUGGUAAGAGGGACCGGACGGGGGCAUUCCGUUUCCGCUCCGUGAAAGGUGAAACUUCAUGGAACCGGUAGCGAAGAGGCCCGACCUGCGCUACCGCUAUUAGCCAAUGAUGUCGUGUCAUUAACCACGAAACCGAAAGACCAGAAGAUUCCGAAUGCCAUUAAGAUCCCCCGGCAUAGCUUCUUGACCGGUAAACAUGCGAC
RNAcentral lists this ribosomal RNA (997 nucleotides) under Camallanus cotti. Its description in RNAcentral is "SSU rRNA". It matches the Rfam family "Eukaryotic small subunit ribosomal RNA", at positions 102 to 1045 of the family's 1831-position model. The record is from RNAcentral. Lineage: Eukaryota; Metazoa; Nematoda; Chromadorea; Rhabditida; Camallanidae.